GCGUUGGUGGUUCAGUGGUAGAAUUCUUACCUUCCAUGUGGGAGACUUGGGAUCAAUUCCCGGCCAGUGCA
RNAcentral lists this transfer RNA (71 nucleotides) under Loxodonta africana (African savanna elephant). It matches the Rfam family "tRNA". From Rfam's summary of the family: Transfer RNA (tRNA) molecules are approximately 80 nucleotides in length. Lineage: Eukaryota; Metazoa; Chordata; Mammalia; Proboscidea; Elephantidae. The record is from Rfam by way of RNAcentral.